GCAAAUUAUCACAAUCUAUUGGAUAAUUUGUCAAGUUUAAUUUAUUUUUGCGCUAGUCUUGCCUAAAUGGUCAAAUUGUGUGCGAAACGAUUGCAUUUUGGAACCCGGACACAACGGAUAACGUUAGUUAGCGACACUCACAGCUAUCAGUGCCAGAGUAUGUGAGCGGAGCAUGCCCAAUUUGACUGGAGCGAGUUCCAGAAAGGCUGGAGCGUGGCAAAAUAUUUUCCUCAAGAAACUGAUAAAACACACAGGUGCAACAUCAAGGUGCCUUACAAAGAUGAGGAGGAUGGAGAGCGGUGGUGUAGUGUGCACAACUAAAUAAUCAUCGUGGAAUCUGAAGACGGGUGAAAGCAUGAUGGUCUCCCUCUCUCCUAGCUGUGCGGCAUGAAACAUUUAUGCAUGAUGAACCAUGGUCUACCUCCACCACCACCGUGCCCUGACAGGGAAGACAGAAGGAACUAUGCUCAGCAGGUGACAGACAAACAUAUGUCUCUGAUGCCACAGGGUCUUGCAGCCUGAGCUGGAUCAUCUCCAAAGGCUAACUGGCAGGACCAAGUAGGAAGGAUGGGCUUUAAUGCAGAUUAUUCGCAAAGAGCAAUGGUCGAUCACGAGAACGGCACCCAGUGUGUACCCAGCUGCUUGGUUGGCAAACGGCUCCGACUGAUGCCAGGAUUUCUAGACAAGGGAAUCUGGUUCAGCAGGCAACCGUUGUGGAACGUUGUAUUAGACAUGCCAUGAAUAGAAUAUGUGAUUCCUUAUUCUACAUAUUAAAGGGGCAUGUUUGUUCUACAGAUUCUAUUUCUAUGUGAACAUUACACAUUGUACCCGUCUGAUUGCGGCCCAAGCCAGGGGUUUGUGUUUUACCCUGUAUUCGUUAAAAUUCCCCACAAAAGACAACAUGCUUUGCAACAAGCCAUUUUCCCUUUUAUUUAAACCCAUUCUGGCUGCUGUAUUGUACCGCUGUGUCAAUGAACCAGUGCUUUGGUACGACAGCAUCAGUUCUUUCAGUAGUCCCCAUCUCCAAUAAGAACAAAAUCCUUAAAACCCUGUAUGGCUUCCAUGCUUAUCAUUAUGCACCCCAAACAUUCACAACCUCAAUUAACAUGAAUUUAAAAAAUCAUCCAUCAUAGACUUGGACCAGUGACUAACCUGUAAAUCACUGCAUUGUGAUGCUGCCCUCUGGCUGCAGAUGCCUGUACUGCAAGGAGCUGAACAGAGGUCGCCCCUGCAUGGUUAACUUCGGGGUGAUGUUUCCCCUAUGUACAGAUUUUGGAUCAGAUUGCCUCCCCCAAUCCAAUCCUUAACCAUUAGUGGGGG
Oncorhynchus tshawytscha (Chinook salmon) is the source of this 1320-nucleotide long non-coding RNA. Lineage: Eukaryota; Metazoa; Chordata; Actinopteri; Salmoniformes; Salmonidae. The record is from Ensembl.